RNAcentral lists this unclassified non-coding RNA (337 nucleotides) under soil metagenome. RNAcentral describes it as "partial contains 5.8S ribosomal RNA, internal transcribed spacer 2, and large subunit ribosomal RNA". The stretch from base 1 to 120 matches the Rfam family "5.8S ribosomal RNA", at positions 35 to 154 of the family's 154-position model. The record is from RNAcentral.
GAUGAAGAACGUAGCGAAAUGCGAUAAGUAAUGCGAAUUGCAGAAUUCCGUGAGUCAUCGAAUCUUUGAACGCACAUUGCGCCCUCUGGUAUUCCGGAGGGCAUGCCUGUCUGAGCGUCAUUGUCAACCCUCAAGCUCAGCUUGCUGUUGGGUCCCCGUCGUUGCUUUAACGGCGGACCCGAAAGGUAAUGGCAGAGUCCGUGAGACCCUAGACGCAGCGAGCUUCUAGCACGCGUCUGGACGUUUUUCGGGCUCGGUCUUAACUAGAUGAUAACUUCCGAUUGACCUCAGAUCAGGUAGGGAUACCCGCUGAACUUAAGCAUAUCUAAGCGGAGGA